CGGUAAUUCCAGCUCCAAUAGCGUAUACUAAAGUUGUUGCAGUUAAAAAGCUCGUAGUUGGAUUUCUGCGGGGACGGAGCGGCCGGACGCAACUUGCGUCUCGAGCUAGCGCUUUCCCCGCAUCCUGCCGCGAACCGUGCUACCAUUAGCUUGGUGGCGCUGGGGAUCGGCUCGAUUACUUUGAGAAAAAUAGAGUGUUCAAAGCAGGCCACACGCCUUGAAUAAGUUAGCAUGGAAUAAUGACUAAGGACUUCGGUUCUAUUUUGUUGGUGUUCGGGACUGAAGUAAUGAUUGAUAGGGACAGUUGGGGCGGUCUGUAUUCCAAAGCGAGAGGUGAAAUUCUUAGACCUUCGGAAGACAAACAGCUGCGAAAGCGUUCCGCAAGGAUGUUCCCUUUGAUCAAGAACGAAAGUUGGGGGAUCGAAGACGAUCAGAUACCGUCGUAGUCUCAACUAUAAACUAUACCAGCUAGGGAUCGGUCAACGUUUAAUCAUUCGACUUGAUCGGCACCUUAUGAGAAAUCAAAGCAUCUGGGUUCCGGGGGGAGUAUGGUCGCAAGGCUGAAACUUAAAGGAAUUGACGGAAGGGCACCACCAGCCGUGGAGCCUGUGGCUUAAUUUGACUCAACACGGGAAAACUUACCAGGUCCAGACAUAGUAAGGAUUGACAGAUUGAUAGCUCUUUCUUGAUUCUGUGGGUGGUGGUGCAUGGCCGUUCUUAGUUGGUGGAGUGAUUUGUCUGGUUAAUUCCGUUAACGAACGAGACCCCAGCCUGCUAAAUAGCGCGGCUGAGCUUUGCUCGGUGCGAGCUUCUUAGAGGGACUAUGAUGCGCGAUAGCACAUGGAAGUUUGGGGCAAUAACAGGUCUGUGAUGCCCUUAGAUGUUCUGGGCCGCACACGGGCUACACUGGCGCCUGCAACGAGCAUAUCAGCUGGCCCGAGAGGGUCUUGGCUAAUCUUUUGAACCGGCGCCGUGCUUGGGAUUGACCAUUGCAAUUGUUGGUCAUGCAACGAGGAAUGCCUUGUAAACGCGAGUCAUCAGCUCGCAUUGAGUACGUCCCUGCCCUUUGUACACACCGCCCGUCGCUCCUACCGAUGAAUGUUCCGAUGAAAUUUUCGGAGAGCGCCAGAGAACGGGGCUCUGCCUUGCAGAUCUGGAGGCUCAAAGUCACUUAAAUCUGAACAUUUCGAGGAAGGAGAAGUCGUAACAAGGUAGCCG
This 1218-nucleotide ribosomal RNA is filed under the name uncultured Rhizaria. RNAcentral describes it as "SSU rRNA". It matches the Rfam family "Eukaryotic small subunit ribosomal RNA", at positions 577 to 1805 of the family's 1831-position model. The record is from RNAcentral.